GCCCUCGUAGUCCAAUGGAUAAGACAACCGCCUCCUAAGCGGUGGAUCCAGGUUCGACUCCUGGCGGGGGUA
RNAcentral lists this transfer RNA (72 nucleotides) under Paraconexibacter antarcticus. RNAcentral's name for it is "Paraconexibacter sp. 02-257 tRNA-Arg". It matches the Rfam family "tRNA". Rfam says of the family: Transfer RNA (tRNA) molecules are approximately 80 nucleotides in length. Their secondary structure includes four short double-helical elements and three loops (D, anti-codon, and T loops). Lineage: Bacteria; Bacillati; Actinomycetota; Thermoleophilia; Solirubrobacterales; Paraconexibacteraceae. The record is from RNAcentral.